GUACAAGGUAUCAUCUUUGAGUUAAAACAGUUCAACAGUGAGAAUAUUCCACAUGAUCCUGCCAUUAUUAGAGUUCCCUACGAUUAUUUAAUUCCCAGUCUAAGAUUUUCCCAGUUGUCCCACAAAUGAAACAAGUUUGAUCCUGUAGGACAACUCCUCAAAUUCUGGUUCUGGGAAUUAUAAAUCCAGCCUGGGAAAAGAGCUAGGCAAACCAGUCAGUAUAAUCAACUGAUUUGAUAAAGAUCUCUAUGAAGACUGUAAUGGAAGGAAUGUUCAGUUUUAUCUGUGUGAGGCUGGUUAAGAAAUUCCUUGGUCACAUUUUGUCCUGUUCUGGAAAAACGAACAGGUGAUUUGGAGGGCAGAGUAGGUGAGCUAGGAUUGAAUGACCAAAGGGCAUUUUAGGUUGAAGUUGCUACUUGCUACAAAGCUACUUAAAAUAGCCUGCAGAAAGUAUUCAGUCAGACUGGGGGUGCGUCUGGUGUCAGGUACAGUGAGCAUCAGAGAUACUGUUCAAUUUGGACCAAGUCAGAAUUGAAGGGAUUGCUUACUUGCUGGACUGAAAGUGUGAAUUUUGUUCUAGGGAUUUUUGUGAUUCCCAAAUUCCCUUACCUGGCCAUUUUUUUUUACCCUUUAUAGUGUUAUU
Molecule: long non-coding RNA, 643 nt
Organism: Perognathus longimembris pacificus (Pacific pocket mouse)
Lineage: Eukaryota; Metazoa; Chordata; Mammalia; Rodentia; Heteromyidae
Exons: 3
Source: RefSeq, a predicted model, not a curated record